GAUGAACGCUGGCGGCGUGCCUAAUACAUGCAAGUCGAGCGAACGGACGAGAAGCUUGCUUCUCUGAUGUUAGCGGCGGACGGGUGAGUAACACGUGGAUAACCUACCUAUAAGACUGGGAUAACUUCGGGAAACCGGAGCUAAUACCGGAUAAUAUUUUGAACCGCAUGGUUCAAAAGUGAAAUACGGUCUUGCUGUCACUUAUAGAUGGAUCCGCGCUGCAUUAGCUAGUUGGUAAGGUAACGGCUUACCAAGGCAACGAUGCAUAGCCGACCUGAGAGGGGGAUCGGCCACACUGGAACUGAGACACGGUCCAGACUACUAAGGGAGGCAGCAGUAGGGAAUCGUCCGCAAUGGGCGAAAGCCUGACGGAGCAACGCCGCGUGAGUGAUGAAGGUCUUCGGAUCGUAAAACUCUGUUAUUAGGGAAGAACAUAUGUGUAAGUAACUGUGCACAUCUUGACGGUACCUAAUAAGAAAGCCACGGCUAACUACGUG
RNAcentral lists this ribosomal RNA (497 nucleotides) under uncultured bacterium. RNAcentral describes it as "partial 16S ribosomal RNA". It matches the Rfam family "Bacterial small subunit ribosomal RNA", at positions 28 to 507 of the family's 1533-position model. The record is from RNAcentral.